Molecule: ribosomal RNA, 704 nt
Filed under: uncultured organism
Description: SSU rRNA
Rfam family: Bacterial small subunit ribosomal RNA
Source: RNAcentral
GAAAUUUUAGUGAUUGAGUGGCGGACGGGUGAGUAACGCGUGGGUAACCUGCCUCACACAGGGGGAUAACAGUUGGAAACGGCUGCUAAUACCGCAUAAGCGCACAGUACCGCAUGGUACAGUGUGAAAAACUCCGGUGGUGUGAGAUGGAUCCGCGUCUGAUUAGCUAGUUGGCAGGGCAACGGCCUACCAAGGCGACGAUCAGUAGCCGACCUGAGAGGGUGACCGGCCACAUUGGGACUGAGACACGGCCCAAACUCGUACGGGAGGCAGCAGUGGGGAAUAUUGCACAAUGGGGGAAACCCUGAUGCAGCGACGCCGCGUGAGCGAAGAAGUAUUUCGGUAUGUAAAGCUCUAUCAGCAGGGAAGAAGAAAUGACGGUACCUGACUAAGAAGCACCGGCUAAAUACGUGCCAGCAGCCGCGGUAAUACGUAUGGUGCAAGCGUUAUCCGGAUUUACUGGGUGUAAAGGGAGCGCAGGCGGAAGGCUAAGUCUGAUGUGAAAGCCCGGGGCUCAACCCCGGUACUGCAUUGGAGACUGGUCAUCUAGAGUGUCGGAGGGGUAAGUGGAAUUCCUAGUGUAGCGGUGAAGUGCGUAGAUAUUAGGAGGAACACCAGUGGCGAAGGCGGCUUACUGGACGAUAACUGACGCUGAGGCUCGAAAGCGUGGGGAGCAAACAGGAUUAGAUACCCUGGUAGUCCAC